UUGCCACCAUUCAGGCCAUUAUGUCUUGUUUUGGGAGUUGACCGUCAACCUGUCUUCCCCAGUUCCUUCUUCAGUCUUUGAAGACUGUUGCCUCACCAUUGAAGAAUCUUUCAACAGAUCCUACCGACAGGGCCGUGUGUUUGACAAAUCUAUCGGGCAUCUGGAAAUCCGGACAGUGGAAACAGGUGUUGAUGAGGUAGAUAAAGACAUCAUGGGACUGUGAGUUGCGGACGAUAAAUCACACAAGAGGAAAAGUUGCUUGUUGGAUCAAAUGUGACGUCUAGAAACUAUGCUCAAGACUAAUUUGUCAGUUAUAAUUAGCUUGGGGACUUAGAAGGAAAUUAUGAGAGGAGAUUAUUCAAAGACUUGAUGCUGAAUUUUUAUUAUUAUUUAUUAUUCUGUAUAAGUUUUUGAGCUAGAGAGGGGCGGCUAUAGCUUGGAGAGAGAAAGCGUUUUCCUCUGGUUUUCACUAUUUGCACACCAAGAUCAUCUUCUAGUUUUCUGUGGUAUGAUGGAUAAACUUAUGAUGAUUCACGUUUUGUCCAUGAGUAGCUAAGCUUAUUGGUUAGGGUUAUGAAAAUCUUGUAGCAUAUUAUUUGUUUCUAUGGGUCUUGAAUUCAUUAUGCAUUGAUUUACU
Capsicum annuum is the source of this 637-nucleotide long non-coding RNA. RefSeq lists it as uncharacterized. The transcript has 2 exons. The record is from RefSeq and is a predicted model, not a curated record. NCBI's taxonomy places the organism in Eukaryota, Viridiplantae, Streptophyta, Magnoliopsida, Solanales, Solanaceae.